Molecule: unclassified non-coding RNA, 337 nt
Filed under: soil metagenome
Description: partial contains 5.8S ribosomal RNA, internal transcribed spacer 2, and large subunit ribosomal RNA
Rfam family: 5.8S ribosomal RNA (bases 1-120)
Source: RNAcentral
GAUGAAGAACGUAGCGAAAUGCGAUAAGUAAUGUGAAUUGCAGAAUUCAGUGAAUCAUCGAAUCUUUGAACGCACAUUGCGCCCCUUGGUAUUCCGAGGGGCAUGCCUGUUCGAGCGUCAUUACACCACUCAAGCUAUGCUUGGUAUUGGGCGUCGUCCUUAGUUGGGCGCGCCUUAAAGACCUCGGCGAGGCCACUCCGGCUUUAGGCGUAGUAGAAUUUAUUCGAACGUCUGUCAAAGGAGAGGAACUCUGCCGACUGAAACCUUUAUUUUUCUAGGUUGACCUCGGAUCAGGUAGGGAUACCAGCUGAACUUAAGCAUAUCAAUAAGCGGAGGA